This 497-nucleotide ribosomal RNA is filed under the name uncultured bacterium. RNAcentral's name for it is "partial 16S ribosomal RNA". It matches the Rfam family "Bacterial small subunit ribosomal RNA", at positions 28 to 507 of the family's 1533-position model. The record is from RNAcentral.
GAUGAACGCUGGCGGCGUGCCUAAUACAUGCGAGUCGAGCGAACAGAUGAGGAGCUUGCUCCUCUGACGUUAGCGGCGGACGGGUGAGUAACACGUGGAUAACCUACCUAUAAGACUGGGAUAAAUUCGGGAAACCGGAGCUAAUACCGGAUAAUAUAUUGAACCGCAUGGUUCAAUAGUGAAAGACGGUUUUGCUGUCACUUAUAGAUGGAUCCGCGCCGCAUUAGCUAGUUGGUAAGGUAACGGCUUACCAAGGCAACGAUGCGUAGCCGACCUGAGAGGGUGAUCGGCCACACUGGAACUGAGACACGGUCCAGACUCCUACGGGAGGCAGCAGUAGGGAAUCUUCCGCAAUGGGCGAAAGCCUGACGGAGCAACGCCGCGUGAGUGAUGAAGGUCUUCGGAUCGUAAAACUCUGUUAUUAGGGAAGAACAAAUGUGUAAGUAACUAUGCACGUCUUGACGGUACCUAAUCAGAAAGCCACGGCUAACUACGUG